UACGUAGGGUGCAAGCGUUGUCCAGAUUUAUUGGGCGUAAAGAGCGUGUAGGCGGCCUGAAAGGUCAGCUGUGAAAACUCGAGGCUCAACCUCGAGACGUCGGUUGAAACCAUCUGGCUAGAGUCCGGAAGAGGAGUGUGGAAUUCCCGGUGUAGCGGUGAAAUGCGCAGAUAUCGGGAAGAACACCCGUGGCGAAGGCAGAUCUCUGGGCCGUAACUGACGCUGAGGAGCGAAAGCAUGGGGAGCGAACAGG
RNAcentral lists this ribosomal RNA (253 nucleotides) under uncultured bacterium. RNAcentral describes it as "partial 16S ribosomal RNA". It matches the Rfam family "Bacterial small subunit ribosomal RNA", at positions 524 to 776 of the family's 1533-position model. The record is from RNAcentral.